This 418-nucleotide long non-coding RNA is filed under the name Hordeum vulgare. Its description in RNAcentral is "long non-coding RNA (HVUL_LNC007967)". The record is from RNAcentral. Lineage: Eukaryota; Viridiplantae; Streptophyta; Magnoliopsida; Poales; Poaceae.
GUAAACAUUGGUUCUUGUAAGUGAUUGCUUGCCAGUACUGCUGACCCCGGCCGUAUGGGGCUGUUGUUUCUUCAGCUAUGCUCCCCCACUAACUGAGCCACCUCGAGUUCCCCUCCAGAGCGCAGGAAGGCAGUGCGGAGUCCCGGUAAUGGAGUUUGCCAUGGACGGGCUGGGUUUCCUGGUGGUACGGAAACAACGCACUCCCAGUCCCAGGGUGGAAGUGCUGGCGUCGGAGGGAAGGUCCUUCCGCGAAAUGUCGCGGGGAGGACCGCUUUUGUACGGGUCGAUGGUGGCUGCAGCGAUGAUGGGGUCCGCCCCCAUGCUGAUGGCGGAGGUCGAGGACAGCCCGGGCGGAAUGUUUGUGAAGACGCUCGGGGCCAAGGAGGUGGAGGCGCCCCGCCGGGGCAGCAAGUCGGGG